GAGCGUAUAGCUCAGUGGUAGAGCGCAUGCUUAGCAUGCACGAGGUCCUGGGUUCAAUCCCCAGUACCCCUG
RNAcentral lists this transfer RNA (72 nucleotides) under Camelus bactrianus (Bactrian camel). It matches the Rfam family "tRNA". Rfam says of the family: Transfer RNA (tRNA) molecules are approximately 80 nucleotides in length. Lineage: Eukaryota; Metazoa; Chordata; Mammalia; Artiodactyla; Camelidae. The record is from Rfam by way of RNAcentral. RNAcentral also lists the same sequence under 1 other name.